AGAGAAGAGGAUACUCCAGUCCAAGCAAAACAGAAGAGCAAUGGAGAGCUAGAGCAGGCUUUUGGCAGCUGGGGAUUUCUGCACAGAAGCGGUCCUUGAAGCAUCCCUUGGACAGGGCUGCAAAAGGCUGGAAGUAGGAUGAGCUUUUUGUUCAUCUCGCUGCCAGGUGAUGAGCUUUGCACACCAGACAGACUUGGUGCCAUCACUCCUAACAGCUUCCAGUUAUGGCUGCUUUCUGAGCCCUGCAUGAACUCCAGCAGGAUGCUGGCUCAAAUUCUGCAUCUCAGCAACCAAGAUGUAUGGCUAAUAAAUCCUGAUUGCAGACAAAGAGUGCUUAAGAUCAGGAAUCUCGGCCCACAGGAUGAACCGAGAAGUGGAAGACAGAGAUGGUGGCUGAAGUCUGCCAAGAUUCAGAGGAGUGCAGCAGCGUGCCAGAUCCUUGCUGGAUUUGAGCAUAUCAGCCUGCUACAAGAUGGAUCAGAUGAAUAUUUCACAGACAGUGGAUGAGAUUCCUGGAACUACCGUGGAGUACUCAAGUUAUGACAAGGUAAUCCAUAACAGCAUUGGGCUAAGAAAACAUUUAAUUCCACUUCUAGUCCCAGACAUGUUCAUUAGUCAUUAUGGAAGACUACACAGGUUGUUCUUUGGACUUUAAAAAAAAAAAAAAAAAAAAAGUGCUUUCCUUAGAUUUUUUGUUUGGUUUGGUUUGUUCUAACUAACCUCAGGAAGGUUAGCUACAGCUUUAAUUAAAAGUAUUGAGAAAUAACAGACCACAUAACCCCUUGAUAUUCCAUCCCACUCUAUAUUUCUAUGAUUUAUGUGUAAUCUACAGUAUUUUUUUCAGUUGCCGUAGAGCUUUGCAAGCACAAGUUAAUUAUUAAACUAGUUCUUUUCCCAGGGCAGUAAUGACCUAAUCAUUUAUGAUAGUGCUCAAACGAGAAAUUAAACAAACAUAUCCAAAAUAAACAGAGAUCAAAUCGUCUUUGCCA
This 989-nucleotide long non-coding RNA is filed under the name Anser brachyrhynchus (Pink-footed goose). RNAcentral describes it as "lncRNA (ENSABRG00000005471.1)". Lineage: Eukaryota; Metazoa; Chordata; Aves; Anseriformes; Anatidae. The record is from RNAcentral.